RNAcentral lists this transfer RNA (81 nucleotides) under Rickettsiales bacterium. RNAcentral's name for it is "tRNA-Leu". It matches the Rfam family "tRNA". From Rfam's summary of the family: Transfer RNA (tRNA) molecules are approximately 80 nucleotides in length. Their secondary structure includes four short double-helical elements and three loops (D, anti-codon, and T loops). Further hydrogen bonds mediate the characteristic L-shaped molecular structure. tRNAs have two regions of fundamental functional importance: the anti-codon, which is responsible for specific mRNA codon recognition, and the 3' end, to which the tRNAs corresponding amino acid is attached (by aminoacyl-tRNA synthetases). tRNAs cope with the degeneracy of the genetic code in two manners: having more than one tRNA (with a specific anti-codon) for a particular amino acid; and 'wobble' base-pairing, i.e. permitting non-standard base-pairing at the 3rd anti-codon position. Lineage: Bacteria; Pseudomonadati; Pseudomonadota; Alphaproteobacteria; Rickettsiales. The record is from RNAcentral.
GCAUUCGUGGCCGAGUGGUUAAGGCGGUGGAUUCAAGACCCACUGACGCAAGUCUCGCAGGUUCGAAUCCUGUCGAAUGCA